GGGUCGUUAGCUCAGUUGGUAGAGCAGUUGGCUUUUAACCAAUUGGUCGUAGGUUCGAGCCCUACACGACCCACCA
Molecule: transfer RNA, 76 nt
Filed under: Zymobacter palmae
Lineage: Bacteria; Pseudomonadati; Pseudomonadota; Gammaproteobacteria; Oceanospirillales; Halomonadaceae
Also listed under: 1 other name
Description: tRNA-Lys
Rfam family: tRNA
About the family: Transfer RNA (tRNA) molecules are approximately 80 nucleotides in length.
Source: RNAcentral